UAAAAAGUUUUUUAUGCAUUAAAUGGAUACCUAAACAUCAAAAUUAAAAAAGGCGUGUACAGACGAAAUGUUACAGUGAGUGAAAUCUUCGCUGAGAUCUGUGACUUCCUUUAAUAGAAAACUAAACCUUUAUAGAGGUAUAUUUUGUUUUUUAUAGGAUAAAAUAAAACCCUAGUGAAUUGAAUCAUCUAACUAACUAGGGAAAAAAUCAAUCGAGAUUCCGCAAGUAGUGGCGAGCGAAAACGGUAAAGGCUAAAACUCAACUUUUUACUUAAAUGUUUGCCAGAGAAGGUCAGCCCUGUAAAGUAAUAAUUAAAAGCUUGAGAUCAAAAAGUAAAAUAGUACAAGUCGUGUAUUGUUUGAAUAAUGAAGAACCACCUUCAAAGCCUAAAAUAUUUGAUGUUUGAUAGUGCACUAGUACUGUGAAGGAAAGGUGAAAAGAAUUUGCGAAAAUUGAAAUUUAUUGAAAUUUAAUGCCAACAAGCAGUUGUAGCUUAAUAAAGAGUAACAACGUACCUUUUGCAUAAGUGAUCAACAAGUUUUUUUCAGAAGCGAGCUUAAAGAAAUACAAAAUCUGUAGGCUAAAAAAAAUUGAGUUUUAAAAAGCACAGUAGUUACUGAAAUAAGACCCGAAACUAGGUGAUCUAACUAUGAACAGGUUGAAUUUAUAGCGGUAACGCUUAUUGGAAGACCGAACCCGUGUAUGUGGAAAAAUACUGGAAUGAUUUGUGGUUAGGAGUGAAAGGCUAAUCAAACCUAGAGAUAGCUGGUUUUCUGCGAAAUCUAUUUAAGUAGAGCGUUUAAAUUCAUUAUUUUAAGGUAGAGCACUUGAUAAUCAAUGGGAACGAAAGUUUUACUGAGCUUAUUAAAACUCCGAAUAAAAUUUAAUAGUUUUUAAGCAGACAGACUAUGAGUGCUAAGAUUCAUAGUCAAAAGGGAAACAGCCCAGACUAAUAAUUAAGGUCUCAAAAAGUAGUUAAGUAAAAAAAAUGUAAAGGAAUGAUAACAGUCGGUAGGUUAGCUUAGAAGCAGCUAUCCUUUAAAGAAUGCGUAAUAGCUCACUGGCCUAGCUUUUUUGCGUUGAAAAUGUAAAGAGAUUUAAACUACUUACCGAAAUUGUAGAUUUAAGUACAAUAAGUAUUUAAAUGGUAGCAGAACGAUCUAUAAGUCUAUGAAGAUUCAUGGUUACAUGGAUUUGAGAUAUUAGAUUUGAGAAUGUUGAUAUGAGUAGCGAUAAACAAUGUGCAAAACAUUGUCGCCUUAAGUUCAAGGUUUCCAGAACAAGGCUAAUCCUUUCUGGUAUUGUUAAUCGGUCUCUAAAAAUAUAGCGAUAGCUUAAUUUGAUGGGUAAAAAAAAAGAUUUUUUUAUUUGUUUAAUGUGACAAAACGUAAAUAUUAUUUUUAUUUCAUGGUUUUAAAUGAAAGUUUUAUAACGUUUUCAAGAAACAGCUUAAGCAUAAAAACCGUACUUAAACCGACACAGGUGAACGAAUUUAGUAAAUUAAGGCGCUUGAGAGAAUUGUGUUGAAGGAACUCGGCAAAUUGACUCUGUAACUUCGGAAGAAGGAGUAACUUUAUUAGGGUAACCUUUUAAAGUUGUCACAAAAUCGGGGGCAGCGACUGUUUAAUAAAAACACAGGUCUCUGCAAAUUUGUAAAAAGAAGUAUUGAGACUGACGCCUGCCCAGUGCUGCAAGAUUAAAGGAAAAAGUUUUUUGGCUUUGACCCUAACCCCCAGUAAACGGCGGCUGUAACUCUGACGGUCCUAAGGUAGCGAAAUUCCUUGGCAUUUAAUUGGUGUCCUGCAUGAAUGGCGUAACGACUGCCCCACUGUCUCCAACACAAUCUCAGUGAAAUUGAAUUUUCCGUGAAGAUGCGGAAUACCUACGGCUAGACGGAAAGACCCUUACACCUUUACUAUAGCUAUAUAUUGUAUUAAGAAUUUUGAUGUGUAGAAUAGGUGGUAGUUGUUUUUAUCCUGCAAUUUGCAGUUAAAAAAAGUUUUCACGUAAGUGAACUGUUUAAACUUCUUUGAAAUACCACUCUUUAAAAUUCUUAUUAGUAAUUAUUCAAGACAUUGUAUAGUGGUUAGUUUGACUGGGGCGGUCGCCUCCUAAAGAGUAACGGAGGCGCACAAUGGUAGGUUUUAGUUGAAAAACACCAACUCAUAAGCGUAAUAGUAUAUACCUGCCUGACUGUAAGAUUGACAAAUCAAGCAGGGACGAAAGUCGGUUAUAGUGAUCCGAUGACUCUGUGUGGCAAUGGUCAUCGCUCAACGAAUAAAAGGUACGUAAGGGAUAACAGGCUAAUCAUCCCCUAGAGACCCUAUCGACGGGAUGGUUUGGCACCUCGAUGUUGGAUUAUCGCAUCCUGGAGCUGUAAGCGGUUCCAAGGGUUUGACUGUUCGUCAAGGAAGGCGGUACAUGAUCUGAGUUUAGAACGUUGUGAAACAGUUUGGUCCCCCUAUCUACCGUGGGUGUUAAAAAUUGAGAGGACUAGACUCUAGUACGAGAGGACCGAGAAAAGCAAAUCUCUGGUGUAUCGAUUGUCAGACCAAUGGCAUUGUCGAGUAGCUACAUUUGUAAUAAAUAAUCGCUGAAAGCAUCUAAGCGAGAAAUUAGCCUCAAAAUAAGUUUUUGUUUGAAUUGUAAAAGAUCAUUACAUAGAUAGGCUUAAAGUGCAUAAGUCGUAAGAUUUCAGCUAAUAAGUACUAA
This 2713-nucleotide ribosomal RNA is filed under the name Halamphora coffeiformis. RNAcentral's name for it is "LSU rRNA". It matches the Rfam family "Bacterial large subunit ribosomal RNA". The record is from RNAcentral. Lineage: Eukaryota; Bacillariophyta; Bacillariophyceae; Naviculales; Amphipleuraceae.